This 642-nucleotide ribosomal RNA is filed under the name uncultured freshwater eukaryote. Its description in RNAcentral is "bacterial SSU rRNA". It matches the Rfam family "Eukaryotic small subunit ribosomal RNA", at positions 856 to 1554 of the family's 1831-position model. The record is from RNAcentral.
GCUUAGGUUUCUCGUCUUAGGAUCAUCUGGGGUCAUUCGUACUCGUCCGCGAGAGGUGAAAUUCUUGGACCGGACGAAGACGAUCAGCAGCGAAAGCAUCUGUCAGGGAUGUUUUCUGCGACAAAGGACGAAGGUCAGGGUAUCGAGGACGAUUAGAUACCGUCGUAGUCCUGACUGUAAACUAUGCCGACUUGGGUCUUGCAGAGUAAAUACUUUGUGAGACCCACACAGAAAUGAAAGUGUAUGAGUUCUGGGGGUAGUAUGGACACAAGUCUGAAACUUGAAGGAAUUGACGGAAGAGCACCAUAAGACGUGGAGCUUGCGGCUUAAUUUGACUCAACGCGGGAAAACUUACCAGGUCAAGACAUGGGCGUGAUUGACAGGCUAAUGACCUUUCUCGAUUCCUUGGAUGGUGGUGCAUGGUCGCACUUAGUUGGUGCAGUGAUUUGUCAGGUUUAUUCCGGUAACGAACGAGACCUCGGCCUUGUAACUAGUUUUACUGCUUACAGGGACAAUGUCGGCUACGUCAAGGAAGUUCGAGGCAAUUGCAGAUCUGGAAUGCCCUUAGAUGUCCUGGGUCGCACGCGUGCUACAAUGACGCCACGAGCGAGUUCAUGGCGUUGAAAGACAUGUGAAAUCAGC